This is a non-coding RNA of Candidatus Nitrososphaera sp. 13_1_40CM_48_12, 72 nucleotides long. The record is from Rfam. Lineage: Archaea; Thermoproteati; Nitrososphaerota; Nitrososphaeria; Nitrososphaerales; Nitrososphaeraceae.
GCGGUCAUGGUCUAGUGGUUAUGACAUGGGCUUCCCAAGCCUAUAACCCGGGUCCGAAUCCCGGUGACCGCA